GAUAGAAAUGCUGGGUCAUAUGGUAAUUCUACAUUUAACAUUGAGGAACCACCAAACUGUUUCUCAUUAGUCUGUACCAUUUUAUAUUCCCACCAGCAAU
Molecule: microRNA precursor, 100 nt
Filed under: Marmota monax (woodchuck)
Lineage: Eukaryota; Metazoa; Chordata; Mammalia; Rodentia; Sciuridae
Source: RNAcentral